Molecule: ribosomal RNA, 423 nt
Filed under: uncultured Alphaproteobacteria bacterium
Lineage: Bacteria; Pseudomonadati; Pseudomonadota; Alphaproteobacteria
Description: bacterial SSU rRNA
Rfam family: Bacterial small subunit ribosomal RNA
Source: RNAcentral
AUGCUUUAUACAUGCAAGUCGAACGAAGGCCCUAGCUUGCUAGGUGUCCUUAGUGGCGCACGGGUGAGUAACACGUGGGAACAUACCUUAUAGUACGGAAUAACUGCGGGAAACUGUAGCUAAUACCGUAUAUUCCAGUAAUGGGAAAGAUUUAUCGCUAUAAGAUUGGCCCGCGCAAGAUUAGCUUGUUGGUGAGGUAAAAGCUCACCAAGGCUUCGAUCUUUAGCUGGUUUGAGAGGAUGAUCAGCCACACUGGGACUGAGACACGGCCCAGACUCCUACGGGAGGCAGCAGUAGGGAAUAUUGGACAAUGGGGGCAACCCUGAUCCAGCAAUGCAGCGUGAGUGACGAAGGCCUUAGGGUUGUAAAACUCUUUCAUCGGUGAGGAUAAUGACAGUAGCCGAAGAAGAAGGACCGGCUAAU